AGCUCCAAGAAUACGCGGAGGAGGUGGCCUGGGUCGGUGUCGGCGCCGUCCGGCGCGGGCCACAGGCCCGCUUCCAAGUGCGUCUGCGCGCCUGCCACCCACGCCGGGUCCUUCAAGUGCCGCUUCCACCGCACCAACUCCCAGGGCCACGGCCACGGCCAGGGCCAGGGAAGCCGCAAUUCUUCGCCCCCUUCACCGGCCGUGGCCAACGCGGUGCCGCGGCACCCGGCCUCGCCGUCCUCGUUCUCCGGCACCGUCGCGACCCAGUGA
This 270-nucleotide ribosomal RNA is filed under the name Triticum aestivum (bread wheat). Its description in RNAcentral is "partial small subunit ribosomal RNA". The record is from RNAcentral. Lineage: Eukaryota; Viridiplantae; Streptophyta; Magnoliopsida; Poales; Poaceae.